CCCUCGGUGUUUUUUAACACCACCCAUUGUAUCAGAAAUUGUGGCU
Phytophthora ramorum (sudden oak death agent) is the source of this 46-nucleotide non-coding RNA. NCBI's taxonomy places the organism in Eukaryota, Oomycota, Peronosporomycetes, Peronosporales, Peronosporaceae. The record is from Rfam.